GUUCAUAGUGAUGGCCGAUGAGGCCACCCUGGCCUAUUAAGGCUUCUGUGUCAUGGGGGUGAUGGUGUCUGAGUGAUU
Talpa occidentalis (Iberian mole) is the source of this 78-nucleotide small nucleolar RNA. RefSeq annotates it as small nucleolar RNA SNORD86. The record is from RefSeq and is a predicted model, not a curated record. Lineage: Eukaryota; Metazoa; Chordata; Mammalia; Eulipotyphla; Talpidae. The transcript has a single exon.